AAUAUUGGACGAUGGGGGCAACCCUGAUCCAGCCAUGCCGCGUGUGUGAAGAAGUUCUUCGGAUUGUAAAGCACUUUAAGUUGGGAGGAGGGGUUGUUCGCUAAUAUCCAGCAAUUUUGACGUUACCGACGGAAUAAGCACCGGCUACCUCUUUUCCACCAGCCGCGGUAAUACAGAGGGUGCAAGCGUUAAUCGGAAUUACUGGGCGUAAAGCGCGCGUAGGUGGUUCAGUAAGAUGGGUGUGAAAACCCCGGGCUUAACCUGGGAACUGCUUUCAUAACUGCUGAGCUAGAGUACGGUAGAGGGUAGUGGAAUUUCCUGUGUAGCGGUGAAAUGCGUAGAUAUAGGAAGGAACACCAGUGGCGAAGGCGACUACCUGGACUGAUACUGACACUGAGGUGCGAAAGCGUGGGGAGCAAAC
RNAcentral lists this ribosomal RNA (421 nucleotides) under uncultured bacterium. RNAcentral's name for it is "partial 16S ribosomal RNA". It matches the Rfam family "Bacterial small subunit ribosomal RNA", at positions 360 to 773 of the family's 1533-position model. The record is from RNAcentral.